Long non-coding RNA from Chinchilla lanigera (long-tailed chinchilla), 450 nucleotides. RefSeq lists it as uncharacterized. The record is from RefSeq and is a predicted model, not a curated record. NCBI's taxonomy places the organism in Eukaryota, Metazoa, Chordata, Mammalia, Rodentia, Chinchillidae. The transcript is spliced from 4 exons.
UUAAGUUUCAGGUUACCAUAGGAACAGAAUGGAUUAUAAACUUACAGGACAGCAAUUUGUACAAGAUGCUGUUGAUGCUGUUAAAGUCUUUCUUCCCUGGAUAUGGGCCACAAAUAGGGGCUGUCUAGGCCUGCUGCCCUUAACUCCCAAGCUGCCAGCAAGUUCCUUGCACCACGGAGGGAGAGCAGAAGCCAGCAGGGACAAUGGAAGAGCAGCAGAGAGAAACCUACUCUGGAUGUUCUUAGUUGACCUCAGGAGCAGGAGGACUUAAGGACCCAUGGAUGUUCCAGAGCUGAAUGAGCCACCAAGAAAGACCGUUCUGGCCAAAUGUGACCUUGAGUGAAUGUUCCCUCUGUGGCUAAGUUGGAUUUGGCUGACAGCUGGAAGAAUAAUGAAGCAGUCAUCUGCACAAAGUAUGAACAAUGCUUACCAAGGCAGCAAAAGAAAAAA